RNAcentral lists this non-coding RNA (24 nucleotides) under Arabidopsis thaliana (thale cress). The record is from RNAcentral. Lineage: Eukaryota; Viridiplantae; Streptophyta; Magnoliopsida; Brassicales; Brassicaceae.
AGGAUGGAAGGCUACAAUCUUAUG